RNA transcript from Rosa rugosa (rugosa rose), 4121 nucleotides. It is a transcript of the gene named cyclin-dependent kinase G-2, with no coding region annotated. The record is from RefSeq and is a predicted model, not a curated record. The transcript is spliced from 9 exons. Lineage: Eukaryota; Viridiplantae; Streptophyta; Magnoliopsida; Rosales; Rosaceae.
AGGACGGGAAAAUUCGGUCGAACGGAAAAAGGCCCAAUCUGAUCUGAAACCCGCAGAGAAAAGAAGUCUCGCCGUUAUCGUUUCCCUACAUUCUUCACUUUGAUCAAUCUCUUUCAUCAACUCUAGAUUAAUUUCCAGCUUUUCUUUUCGCUCGCUGCUUCAAUUUCUAGGGUUUCUGAUUCACACAUGAUCGAGGCUUCGUCGAACAACUAAUUGUUAGUCUUUACUCUGCUUUAUUAUUCGCGUUUAGGAUCUGACCCACCCCGUUUCAAUUUCCUCAAAGUUCCUGACUUUUUGAAUUGGAGAGCCUGACUUUGAUUUGGGGGUUUAGGGUUAGGGUUUUAAUUGGAUUGGGCUAAAGGGUAGGGUUCCCCCGCUGUGGUUUUUCUGGCUCUUGGGUAUAUAUAUGGCGGCUGGAAGACAUGGGGGUUAUCGCGAAAACGAGUUCAGGGAGCGAGAGUCCAGUUUCGAAUUGCCGCGGAGGGAUUUAGCUUCUGCUAAGGAGGACUUGGAGCGGAUGGGGAAUGGGAAUCGUGAUGUUCACAAGGGCCGCGUUCGGGAUUUGAGAGAUAGAAUCAGGGCUAGGUCCAAGGAGAGGGCUGUGGCUAAUGGUGGAUACCGAUCCUCUUCGAGUAGGAGUGAUUCCGGCAGCAGUGGCGGUGGCGGGCCUAAGCCGUGUGGGUUUUCUGCCAAGGCAUUGGAUAGGGAACCUGGUGAAUUGUCAAGUGAGAGCGGGUCCGAUGAUGCUAUUGAAUCCGGGUCGCAGGGCCGAGAUGAUGUAGAGGUUAUGAAGGUGGUGGAGAAUGGAAGUCAGACUCCCAAGGAGAGGAAAAGGAAGUUUUCGCCUAUUGUGUGGGAUAGAGAUGAUAAAGAAGGGAGUAAUUCGUCCAAGACUAGGAUUACAACAACAGUGGCAACAGCCCUUCCUCCACCCCCACUGGCUAGGGUGUCUCGUCAGUCUCCUAAUGUUACUUCAGAUAGCAGGGUACAAAUAUCUUCAGCUAAAAUUGAUGAAGCCGACAAUUUACAACCUUCAUCUCCGGUUAAGUCGUCUCCUGUGGCACCUGAGACUGUUAGCAAUGGUGUAUAUGAGUCUCCGGUAGAGUUGUCUUCACCAGAUCAGCAUUUAGGGGAUGUUCGUGAAGCAGAGCAGCUAGAAGAAGAAGAUUAUGUUCCAACCCGAAAUAUAUCAUCUUCAAGAUGGGCAGCAGGAAAUAAUUCUCCUGGUGAUGAAGGUGGAAUUUCAGAAAACGAGGAAAUUCCUAAAAGGAGGAGGAAAAUGCCUCGUUUAGGAUCAGUGGAAAACAGAGUACGCAACAGCUCAUUGACUCCGGAGCUAGGGGAGCUUAAGAAAGAUGGGUCUGAACGAGGUAGGGCGAGAUCAUCCGAGUCUGAUGAACGAGAUGCCCUUCGAAGGUCUAGUGGGGAUGACUAUCCUGAUAAUGACUCAGAGAGGGAUGACUACAUGGAUGUUGACAAGGAUAAUGGUAAUAAUGAUAGUGUUAGUCGUUAUGAUACUAGUUCAGAGGAUGAGCAUGAUUCUCCUGAGACACCAGAGCCUGCAGCUCCUCCACAAAGAAGUGUAAACAUGCUUCAGGGUUGUAGAAGUGUUGAUGAGUUCGAGAGACUAAACAAGAUAGAUGAGGGCACUUAUGGUGUUGUAUAUCGGGCCCAAGAUAAGAAAACUGGUGAAAUUGUGGCAUUGAAGAAGGUGAAGAUGGAGAAGGAAAGAGAAGGUUUUCCAUUAACUUCUCUGAGGGAAAUAAACAUUCUCCUUUCUUUUCAUCAUCCAUCAAUUGUCGAUGUUAAGGAAGUAGUGGUGGGCAGUAACCUUGAUAGCAUUUUUAUGGUGAUGGAAUACAUGGAGCAUGAUCUUAAAGCACUCAUGGAGACAAUGAAGCAGCCAUUUAGUCCGAGUGAAGUCAAAUGCCUUAUGCUCCAGCUAUUGGAAGGUGUCAAAUAUCUUCAUGAUAAUUGGGUGCUUCAUCGGGAUUUGAAGACAUCUAACCUGCUUUUGAAUAAUCGGGGUGAGUUGAAGAUCUGUGACUUUGGGUUGGCUCGUCAAUAUGGAAGUCCUUUGAAACCGUAUACUCAUUUGGUGGUUACUCUUUGGUACAGGGCGCCGGAACUUCUGUUGGGAGCAAGAGAAUAUUCAACGGCAAUCGAUAUGUGGUCACUAGGGUGUAUCAUGGCUGAGCUGUUAUCGAAGGAGCCGCUUUUUAAUGGGAAAACUGAAUUUGAACAACUUGACAAAAUUUUUAAGAUACUUGGCACACCAAAUGAGACUAUUUGGCCUGGGUUUUCCAAGCUUCCUGGAGUAAAGGUCAACUUUGUUAAGCAUCAGUAUAACCUUUUGCGCAAGAAGUUCCCAGCUACUUCAUUUACUGGAUCUCCAGUUCUUACUGAAGCUGGAUUUGAUUUGUUGAAUAAGCUUCUAACUUAUGACCCUGAGAAGAGAAUUUCUGCCGAUGCUGCUCUGAAUCAUGAGUGGUUUCGCGAAGUCCCUCUUCCCAAGACGAAAGAUUUCAUGCCCACGUUUCCUGCUCAACAUGCUCAAGACAGGCGCUCACGGAGAAUGUUGAAGAGUCCAGAUCCCUUGGAAGAGCAACGGAGAAAGGAGUUGCAAGGGGGUAUAGGAACCGGGGGUGUGUUUGGCUAGGAUAAAUCAGAUCAGUGGCCUUGAUACAUUAAUGGGCAUGGCUGAGAGACGGUUGGUGUGAAGUGGAAGGGAGUGCUUUGCUUUUCCUUGACGAAGAAUAUUGACAAUUAAGCAUGUAAUUUUGAAGUAUCAAAGCAAGCAGGUUGAGGAGGUUUCCUGCACUUGCAGGAACUUAUAGAACUUCAAUUAGUUGUUCCACAGGCUCACUAGAGAAGAAUUUUAAGAAAUACGCUAAAAGGCAAAAAGAUUCCGGUCUCUGUUCCUGGACACUUCGCAUUCUUAACAUUGACAAAAUGUCAGGUGCAAAAUUGUGGCCUUUUUUAUUGCGCUACUAUUUUGUUUGUAUAAAUGGAAUGAAAAUUAUUCUAGUUAAAACUGAAGGCCUAGGUGUUGAAAUGCGAAGUGAUACUAGUGAUGCACAUAGUGGUAACUUUCGUAUAUUCGUCUUCUGCCAUUCACUCAUAACUGAGGAUCUGGAGGGCUGGACUCUCUGAAGUAGCAUCUACAUUGAGUAUUGCUUCUAUGUCACUUGGGGAUAGGUAAUUUGGAGAGUUAUGAAUUUGCCUUGAAAAUUGUCAGAAUUGGGUUGAUUAGUUCACUUUCAUCGCGUAAUUAAAACCACAGAGUAAUCCUUAUAUUACAGCUGUCAAAUAUAUGGAAUUGUCUCAAGGGACAUUUCUGUCAAGUUCAGUGCCCUUUGAUAAUGAACUAGCAAACUCCUCUUGAGGCAUGGAGGGCAAGGGUAUUUUGAAUGACUCCAUAGUGUGUGUUUCUGAACUUGGUUCAGUUGGAACAUAUACUUCGUUUUUUGACAGUGUGCAGUUUUACUAGUAAGGAUUUAUGUUAAUUGAAAACUGAUCAGUGGAAAAGUUGGGAUUUUGAUUGUUAAUGUGGUCAAGUAUAGAGAUGACGGUUCAUUGUGGUUUAUAACAUUAUAUACUAUGGUUUUUUCAGUUGUGUCUAUUUGAUGUUACGAUAUGGUGGCAAUUUUAAUGGCACUUUUAGAACUAUUGUACGAACCUUAUUAGGAAGUUAUAGAGACGAGAAAGAUAAUUGUAGGGUAUAAUAGUGUGGUCUCUUUUAUUUCAACAUUUCUGAGCCUUUUUUUGUUUUUUUUUCAUGAUAAUUGAUGUUACACUAGUGUGGUUUUGUUUGGCUUAACAUGUCUGUUGGCAUUUGUCUGUAUGUUUUAAGAUAGGAAGAACAGAAGUGUUUAAGCUGUUCAGUCCUUGCUGCCAGUUUUAGUCAAUUGAGUCGAAAUAAUGGUGGAGGCAGCUGACAGCCUGACACAAUGGACUUUGUUCCCUCCCCCUGUUUGGUUCUUUUGUUCAAUAGUUGUCUAUUUUUCAAAGCUACAACUUAUGUUUACCUUAUUACUACUGUUUUGGUUCAAGUAAUUUGUGACGUUGCUCAUAAAUCCUGGAAUAUAUGUUUCUCAUUCAAUACUCUUAAGGCAUUUUUU